AUUGAACGCUGGCGGCAUGCUUUACACAUGCAAGUCGGACGGCAGCGGGGUAGUGCUUGCACUACUGCCGGCGAGUGGCGAACGGGUGAGUAAUAUAUUGGAACGUACCGAGUAAUGGGGGAUAACCAAUCGAAAGAUUGGCUAAUACCGCAUACGCUCUGAGGAGGGAAGCAGGGGACCUUCGGGCCUUGCGUUAUUCGAGCGGCCAAUAUCUGAUUAGCUAGUUGGUGGGGUAAAGGCCUACCAAGGCGACGAUCAGUAGCGGGUCUGAGAGGAUGAUCCGCCACACUGGGACUGAGACACGGCCCAGACUCCUACGGGAGGCAGCAGAGGGGAAUUUUGGACAAUGGGCGCAAGCCUGAUCCAGCCAUGCCGCGUGUCUGAAGAAGGCCUUCGGGUUGUAAAGGACUUUUGUUAGGGAAGAAAAAGGAGCGGUUAAUACCCGUUUCUGCUGACG
RNAcentral lists this ribosomal RNA (457 nucleotides) under Neisseria elongata. Its description in RNAcentral is "bacterial SSU rRNA". It matches the Rfam family "Bacterial small subunit ribosomal RNA", at positions 30 to 474 of the family's 1533-position model. Lineage: Bacteria; Pseudomonadati; Pseudomonadota; Betaproteobacteria; Neisseriales; Neisseriaceae. The record is from RNAcentral.